Molecule: long non-coding RNA, 2111 nt
Filed under: Lactuca sativa (garden lettuce)
Lineage: Eukaryota; Viridiplantae; Streptophyta; Magnoliopsida; Asterales; Asteraceae
Description: long non-coding RNA (LSAT_LNC005685)
Source: RNAcentral
CCGCAUUUGCAGUUGGUGGUGAGAUUUUAACAAAUAACCGCAUCAAACCGCAACACACUCACCCCUAAAGAAGACCUGAGUUUGAUUCUUAUAAUGUCUCUCCAUACACACAAAUUUUUAUCCAAUGGCUCCAAGGGCAAUGAUAUUAUUGGAAAGGCUUGAUUCCAUUUUCAGUCAGCUAUAUGUUCCAAUUUCUUUCUCGGCCAGACGAUACUUUCCGCGUCAUGAGGGGCUAAGCCAUUAAUUCAAGGACCGAAGCUUUCAUCUGACUUCCCAUAUGUUCGAGACCAUUAUUUCUUAGUCGUUGAAAGCAGAAGAAAAACAUCAUAUUCUAAUGAUUUAGAAAUGUAAUAUUUGAAAAAGGAUUAAUGUAUGGAAGGCCAAGUUUCUCUUUAUUUUGGUGGUAAGCUCUCUCUUAAAAUUAGUCCUUUCCACUGUUCCUAUACAUACCUUGGGUCUCCUACAGGAUUUCUAAGAUAGAAAAGUGUUGCGGCUAAUUUAUUAUAUCAAAUAGGGCCCAAGACUUGUAACUAGUUUUGCAAUUUCUACCUUUUUACAAUUUAUUUUAUUUAAAUAGUUAAAUAAAAUUAAAAAGAGAAUAUUUAUCUUUUAAACAGCUUACCACUUCAUAUCAUCAUAUUAAUCCAUAUCACCAUAUUAAGUGAUCAUAUUAAGUUUAGAUGUCAAUAAAAUUAGAAAAUUAUGAGAUGGCAGUAGUGCUCAUAGUCAUAAACGAUCAGAAUAUCCAGAAUCUACAAUGAUNAUAUAUAUAUAUAUAUAGAGAGAGACAAAAUGUUGUUGAUGUAUAUGAUAGUAUUUCUUUUUUCCAACAGAAAAUGAAUAUUGUACUACUUUUCCCUAGUGAAGAAAAAUUUAUAUAAUAUCCGCAUACUAUAUAGAUAACCUUACAAACAUUCAAGCAACAAAUACAGGAAAAAAAUGUUGGAUUUUUAUUACCUAUUUGUUGUGCUUCUAAAAAAUUAGAAGUUGUAAUUAUCAAAUUCGCAGCGACAUUGGUAUAAAUUUUCGUUAAAAGGUUUAACAAUAGAGAAUGAAGUUCCCAUAAUUUUUUUUAUUGCUGGAUUCGCUCAAUUUAGAUUUUUUUAAAAAUAACGUAGUUUAAUAUUAAAUUUAAAUUGUCAUAAAAACAAAAAAAAUGAUCAGAACGCAAAAAAAUCAGAUUACUUCUAUACAUAAACCUGCAUCUACACAAAAUUAAAAACGAAAACAUGAUGUAAUUUGGAGUGAUUAUAAGGAUAUUUUGCUUUAAACGAAAAAAAAGAUCAUCCUUAUUAUGGAUGUAAUUAAAUAAAACAAACACAUUAUAUAAAUAAGAAACACUAUGAGUCUUUAUUUAAAAAUGAAGACUUUCAGGAUCAUUAAUUAUAAAAUUAAAUGCAAUUAAAAAUGAUCGAUCAUUGAUCAAAGAGCAAUUUGAAAUAAUUUAUAAAACCAUAUAAAAGAUGCUAAAUGCCAAUUAAAAUAAAACUAAAAUUUGAAAGAAACAACACUAAAAUAACUGAGAGAUCAUCAGAUAGGAGCGAAAGACUAAAAGAGAUGUAUAAUCACAGAAGAACAUCAUUUGAACUAUGCAAAUGAUCAUCAUUUGAAGCUCUCAAUUAAUACUUAGAUUUAAAUCGAAAAUUAAAACCAAUGAUCUAGAUACUUGGCCUCAUAGAGAAGAUUAGAUUUGACAACAUAGUAAGAUUCAGACAUAUGCUUGUCUAUUAUUAGAAUUUAAUCAUCGGCCAAAAAGAUGCAAUGAAAAAUACACUAAAUCAUCAAAUAGGAUAUCAAUCAACAAAUAGAGGAAAACACCUCUACAACUACAACGAAAGUCGAAAGGUACCUUUUCACAACCGAUUAAAAUGCAAAAAGAAAGAUGGAUGAUUCACUUGAUUGCCCAAAAAACAUCAAAUAUGUAAGAACAGAGAUCAGAACAACGAUUUAUCAAGGUGGUGACUAGUAGCGAAGGACGUAUAAACCAUUAAAAUAGUUGCGACUGAAUUUGAUAGAUUUGUUCGUUGUUAUUUAUAGAGGCGCGAUGAGGAGCUAGGGUUUUUAUCAGGUGAGUAUUGGUGAUGGUUUGGGCCACCGAUUUGUAAUUUGAG